GAUGAACGCUGGCGGCGUGCCUAAUACAUGCAAGUCGAGCGAACAGAUGAGGAGCUUGCUCCUCUGACGUUAGCGGCGGACGGGUGAGUAACACGUGGAUAACCUACCUAUAAGACUGGGAUAACUUCGGGAAACCGGAGCUAAUACCGGAUAAUAUAUUGAACCGCAUGGUUCAAUAGUGAAAGACGGUUUUGCUGUCACUUAUAGAUGGAUCCGCGCCGCAUUAGCUAGUUGGUAAGGUAACGGCUUACCAAGGCAACGAUGCGUAGCCGACCUGAGAGGGGAAUCGCCACACUGGAACUGGAGCCAGGGCCAGACUCCUACGGGAAGCAGGAAGAGGGAAUCUUCCGGAAAGGGCGGAAGGCUUACGGGAGAACGGCGGGGUGAGUGAUGAAGGCUUCGGGACCUUAAACUCUUGUUAUAGGGAAGAACAAAAGGUUAAGGUACCAUUCACGGCUUGGAGGGUCCUUAACAGAAAGGCACGGGUAAAUACGGG
This 496-nucleotide ribosomal RNA is filed under the name uncultured bacterium. RNAcentral's name for it is "partial 16S ribosomal RNA". It matches the Rfam family "Bacterial small subunit ribosomal RNA", at positions 28 to 507 of the family's 1533-position model. The record is from RNAcentral.